Molecule: ribosomal RNA, 643 nt
Filed under: Bacillus amyloliquefaciens
Lineage: Bacteria; Bacillati; Bacillota; Bacilli; Caryophanales; Bacillaceae
Description: bacterial SSU rRNA
Rfam family: Bacterial small subunit ribosomal RNA
Source: RNAcentral
CCUGCCUGUAAGACUGGGAUAACUCCGGGAAACCGGGGCUAAUACCGGAUGCUUGUCUGAACCGCAUGGUUCAGACAUAAAAGGUGGCUUCGGCUACCACUUACAGAUGGACCCGCGGCGCAUUAGCUAGUUGGUGAGGUAACGGCUCACCAAGGCGACGAUGCGUAGCCGACCUGAGAGGGUGAUCGGCCACACUGGGACUGAGACACGGCCCAGACUCCUACGGGAGGCAGCAGUAGGGAAUCUUCCGCAAUGGACGAAAGUCUGACGGAGCAACGCCGCGUGAGUGAUGAAGGUUUUCGGAUCGUAAAGCUCUGUUGUUAGGGAAGAACAAGUGCCGUUCAAAUAGGGCGGCACCUUGACGGUACCUAACCAGAAAGCCACGGCUAACUACGUGCCAGCAGCCGCGGUAAUACGUAGGUGGCAAGCGUUGUCCGGAAUUAUUGGGCGUAAAGGGCUCGCAGGCGGUUUCUUAAGUCUGAUGUGAAAGCCCCCGGCUCAACCGGGGAGGGUCAUUGGAAACUGGGGAACUUGAGUGCAGAAGAGGAGAGUGGAAUUCCACGUGUAGCGGUGAAAUGCGUAGAGAUGUGGAGGAACACCAGUGGCGAAGGCGACUCUCUGGUCUGUAACUGACGCUGAGGAG